CCAGCACCCCGAGUGGUCGGGACGAUUAUUGGGCCUAAAGCAUCCGUAGCCGGUUUACAAGUCCUCCGUUAAAUCCAACUGCUUAACAGAUGGGCCGCGGAGGAUACUAUAAGACUAGGAGGCAGGAGAGGCAAGCGGUACUCAGUGGGUAGGGGUAAAAUCCGUUGAUCCAUUGAAGACCACCAGUGGCGAAGGCGGCUUGCCAGAAUGCGCUCGACGGUGAGGGAUGAAAGCUGGGGGAGCAAACCGGAUUAGAUACCCGGGUAGUCCCAGCUGUAAACGAUGCAGACUCGGUGAUGGACUAGCUUUAUGCUAGUCCAGUGCCGCAGGGAAGCCGUUAAGUCUGCCGCCUGGGUAGUACGGUCGCAAGACUG
This 374-nucleotide ribosomal RNA is filed under the name uncultured organism. RNAcentral describes it as "bacterial SSU rRNA". It matches the Rfam family "Archaeal small subunit ribosomal RNA", at positions 476 to 851 of the family's 1478-position model. The record is from RNAcentral.